GGCGGCGUGCCUAAUACAUGCAAGUCGAGCGGACAGAUGGGAGCUUGCUCCCUGAUGUUAGCGGCGGACGGGUGAGUAACACGUGGGUAACCUGCCUGUAAGACUGGGAUAACUCCGGGAAACCGGGGCUAUACCGGAUGCUUGUUUGAACCGCAUGGUUCAGACAUAAGGUGGCUUCGGCUACCACUUACAGAUGGACCCGCGGCGCAUUAGCUAGUUGGUGAGGUAACGGCUCACCAAGGCGACGAUGCGUAGCCGACCUGAGAGGGUGAUCGGCCACACUGGGACUGAGACACGGCCCAGACUCCUACGGGAGGCAGCAGUAGGGAAUCUUCCGCAAUGGACGAAAGUCUGACGGAGCAACGCC
Molecule: ribosomal RNA, 367 nt
Filed under: Bacillus subtilis
Lineage: Bacteria; Bacillati; Bacillota; Bacilli; Caryophanales; Bacillaceae
Description: bacterial SSU rRNA
Rfam family: Bacterial small subunit ribosomal RNA
Source: RNAcentral